Non-coding RNA from Paramuricea clavata, 310 nucleotides. The record is from the annotation of a GenBank genome assembly. Lineage: Eukaryota; Metazoa; Cnidaria; Anthozoa; Malacalcyonacea; Plexauridae.
GGGGGGGAAUUUCCUGGGGGGGGGACCUUUUUAAAAAUUUUAUCUUGCCCCCCUCAAAAUUUGAGUUUGCCCCUCAAAUGCCCCCCCCAAAUUUGGAAGCCUGGCGCCGCCACUGAACAUACUUGUCUUCCACACAACUUCAACAAAUUGAUGGUAAGAACAAUUUCCACAGUGGACGUAUAUACAAGCACAUGGUUCAAAACAUUUGUUAUAAUCAUUUGCGGUCUAGACUAUAGUUAGUUUUUUGUAAUAUAUUGACAUUGUUGUAUAAAAUGUAAUGCACUAGCUGAAAAUAAACCUUUCUAAACGA